RNAcentral lists this long non-coding RNA (259 nucleotides) under Mytilus galloprovincialis (Mediterranean mussel). The record is from RNAcentral. Lineage: Eukaryota; Metazoa; Mollusca; Bivalvia; Mytilida; Mytilidae.
GGUUGUAAAAAUGAAAUUGCAGACGCGAUUUCUCGUUUUCAGUUGAAGAGAUUCCGGGAACUAGCAUCCGGGGCCGAGUCGGUUCCAGAAAACAACCCAGAAGAGUUCAGAAAUUGAUAUUGAGUUUGAAACAAACAGAUUAAUUAAUUGUUCGCUUGCUCCUAAUACAAUUCAAGCUUAUCAACGAGCUUUAAAUGCUUUGGCUAAAUUUAUGGAUAGUUUUGAUUUAGAUCAUAGUUUUCCAAUACCAUUGAACCAC